UACAGAGGGGGCAAGCGUUAUUCGGAAUUAUUGGGCGUAAAGGGCGCGUAGGCGGCUUGGCAAGUGGAUGGUGAAAUCCCUCGGCUUAACCGAGGAACUGCCGUCCAAACUGCUUCGCUUGAGACCGGGAGGGGUGAGUGGAAUUCCCAGUGUAGCGGUGAAAUGCGUAGAUAUUGGGAGGAACACCAGUGGCGAAGGCGGCUCACUGGACCGGUACUGACGCUGAGGAGCGAAAGCGUGGGGAGCGAACAGG
RNAcentral lists this ribosomal RNA (253 nucleotides) under uncultured bacterium. RNAcentral describes it as "partial 16S ribosomal RNA". It matches the Rfam family "Bacterial small subunit ribosomal RNA", at positions 524 to 776 of the family's 1533-position model. The record is from RNAcentral.